This 2069-nucleotide long non-coding RNA is filed under the name Solanum tuberosum (potato). Its description in RNAcentral is "long non-coding RNA (STUB_LNC009511)". The record is from RNAcentral. Lineage: Eukaryota; Viridiplantae; Streptophyta; Magnoliopsida; Solanales; Solanaceae.
CCUCGUCGUCCUUGCUCGAAUUCGGACGGCUACCACUCACAAUCCGUUGAAAAUGGUACGAAUUGGUACAAUGGAUAGCUAUCCAAGCCUGAUCUUCCUUAAAGGAUUUUGAAAUUCCUAUCCGAAUUUCCCCCUUUUUUCAUCCGAAUAUCCCCCUAUAAAUUUCCCCUCUCCUUCACUGUUUAAGGGGCGAGGAGAAAACCAAAAAGAAUACAUAUUUCCUUUUUUACUCUAUGGGAAUACACAAUUUCACCUAGAAAAAAUAUUGAGUUUUAAAACAAAUCCUCCCUUCAAAACCAUUGUUUUUCCUCAUCUAAUCAUAGCCGAAAAGAGUAAAAAAAUCAAAGGUCGGUUCUUUAGUCGAUUCCUAUUCGUUAAAGUCGAGAUCAUGGUAGUGGAAUCGCUUCAAGCUCAUCGUCUCAGUCGCUUCCCUCAUAAAGGUAAAAACUCGUUUCUCUUCUUACUGUUCUGUUAAUUUCAGGUGCACCUGGAUUAUUGUGUCUUAAGUUUUGUGUGGUAUUUUAAGUUUUCUCAUCGAGCUUUGUAAUUGUUUCUCUCAUGUUGUGAUUAUAGGAUGAGUGUGUGUUGCCGCUUAUUUCUUAUUUUCGCAUACGAGUUUGCAAUUCUCUUUCUAAAAUGUGUUAUGUUUCUUUCAUAUUGCUAACUUUCCCUUGCUGCUGUCUAAGAACUUAGAAAGGUUGAUUUUUUAGGAAUUAUUGUUUGAUUGUUGUAAUAUGAUUUGGUAUCAUAGAUUCAUAUCAAUGUUAGCCUAAUCUCGUGUUAUGGAUAGAUUUAGUUGAGUUCUUGUUCUAACUGGCUUCAGUUUCAUAAUAAAUAAGUUUGGUUUGGUUUGUGUCGAAGAUGAUUUUUCUGACUAAAGUUAUUACUAUUCUUAUUUUCUAACCUGCAUAAUUGUAUUUUGUUGAAAUUUCGAACUGCUAUACUUGUAUUAGUUAAGUCAUGGUCGCUACGCAUACACGGUAAUAACUUGUAUUCGACGCCAUAUGUUUUUCGCUCUUUUACUCUAAGCUAAAUAUGGGAAUCACGAUAUGCAUAGCUAUUUAAACUCAUUUUUGUGUCUUUGCUACUCCUCGUUCCAAAACUAUUUCACUUGAAUGUUGCUAAACCCGUUUACUGAUGUUCAUAUGCUAUUAUGACUUAUAAUUUAUCCACUCUUAUUGCUAAUGAAUAAUCUUUGCUAAUGUGCAUCCUUUACUUGUCAAAUGUUUGCCAUGUGCAUAAAGUUGUGUCUUGUUUGUUAAUUCCAUAUUUAUUUUCCUUUUUAUAUUUGUUGAAGUGAUAUUUUUUUUUUAUUAUUUAUUAUUAAAAAAGAUAAAAUAAAAUAAAAUUGGUGGUCUAUUUAAUAUAAUUACGUAAAUUACCACUUAGUUUCUUUGCUUGUGAUUUGAAUAUUAUGCUAAGUUUUUAGAUUUUGUCCAAUUCUAAUUCUUCUUCUUUUACUUUUGUUUGAUUUAUGUGAUGUUGGCGGAGUCCAACUUGGACCCAACUCCUAUCUCUUGCAUUCUCCUUCUUAGCGAGUCAACCUCGCAAUUGGAACUAUGUGGAGUUCGAAAAGAGAAUAUAUGUAGUAAGGGAAGCUUAUAUACAUGUGGAGGGAGCUGAAUACAUAUCGAUAUACACUUGUAUGCAGUGCAGUAUACACAGUGAUACAGGAAUAUACGAGAUUCGUAUACACGGUAUACAGUCACGAAAAUGAGGUCAAAAGCCCCAAAUUACAGCAAUUUGUUCAUUUGAUAAAAUUGGGCCAAAGACCCAUACAUUUGUGUAGAUUUUUGAUAGUUUUAGGACAGGGAAAUUGGCGCCAAAGGCUCAACAAUUUUGGCAGCCUUAUUGUUAAACUAAGACAGCUGCAACUGAUUUGAAUGGACCAAAUGCCCAAAAUGAAAUUAGGCCCAAAUACUGGUCUAGGCGAACAGAAAACCAGACUUGGGCCCAAAACCCUCUCUCUCUCUCUCUCCCUCCCCCUCUCUCUUAUUUUAUCUGUUUCGUAUUUGUUUAAUUGUUUAUUUGCUAGUCAAUUUUAAGGUUUUCCUAAUUCGAUUUCCCCA